Solanum tuberosum (potato) is the source of this 723-nucleotide long non-coding RNA. RefSeq lists it as uncharacterized. The record is from RefSeq and is a predicted model, not a curated record. Lineage: Eukaryota; Viridiplantae; Streptophyta; Magnoliopsida; Solanales; Solanaceae. The transcript has 2 exons.
GCCAUCAGUUUUACUUUGUUCCCAUUUGGGAGAACCUCAAAUUCUGCUUAUUUUGAGAAUUGCUUUUGUUAGUUGCAACUCACAUGAGGUUCCUUUUGUUAUUUUUGCUCAGGUCUUGUUUGAUUUAUUUCAGCAUGAUUUACGCUUGUGGAAAGCAUAUAGCAUUACUUUAAAGACCCAUCCAUCAUUUGCUGAAUACCAUGACUUGCUUGAAAGUUUGGAUGAAAAACUUUCAUCCACUUCAAAUUCAGAAGAGACGUGAGCUCUCUGGAUGUAAAGAGCUCCCUUGGUCAGCUUUGCUAUUAAUGGUUAAAAGAGCUCCCAGUGAGAUCUUCUACUUGAAGCUUUAACCGCACCAACUUGAAAUCAGCAUCAAUGUCUAAUUGCUCUAUUGGGAAGGGGGUUGAGCGGCUCUGCAAAAGGCACGAGAUGAGAUUUCGGUUCCUGUUCUACUUUUACCCUAUCUGUGUCCUGCAGAAUUUAUUUUGUAGAUAGGCAUAUCAUUGCUCCAUGGUCCUGUUUCUUUUUCAUGAUUUAUAGUUUGUAUCAAAUUUUAGCUUUGUCAUCAAGGGUGUAGGUGAUCGUAAUGAAAAGGGGCACCUCUUGUAUGAAAGAUCUGAUCUUCCGAUAAAUAGAGAAUAGAGAAGAUUUUGUGCAUUACUGCAUCACUCCUUUCCUUCUUUUUUAUUUAUUUACAGUUUAUACCAGAUUUCAUUGAGGGUG